UACAGAGGUCCCAAGCGUUGUUCGGACUCAUUGGGCGUAAAGGGUGCGUAGGUGGCGCUGUAAGUCGGGUGUGAAAUUUCGGAGCUUAACUCCGAAACUGCAUUCGAUACUGCGGUGCUUGAGGACUGGAGAGGAGACUGGAAUUCAUGGUGUAGCAGUGAAAUGCGUAGAGAUCAUGAGGAAGACCAGUGGCGAAGGCGGGUCUCUGGACAGUUCCUGACACUGAGGCACGAAGGCCAGGGGAGCAAACGGG
This 253-nucleotide ribosomal RNA is filed under the name uncultured bacterium. Its description in RNAcentral is "partial 16S ribosomal RNA". It matches the Rfam family "Bacterial small subunit ribosomal RNA", at positions 524 to 776 of the family's 1533-position model. The record is from RNAcentral.